GAUGAACGCUAGCUACAGGCUUAAUACAUGCAAGUCGAGGGGCAGCAUGAACUUAGCUUGCUAAGUUUGAUGGCGACCGGCGCACGGGUGAGUAACACGUAUCCAACCUGCCGAUGACUCGGGGAUAGCCUUUCGAAAGAAAGAUUAAUACCCGAUGGCAUAGUUCUUCCGCAUGGUAGAACUAUUAAAGAAUUUCGGUCAUCGAUGGGGAUGCGUUCCAUUAGGUUGUUGGCGGGGUAACGGCCCACCAAGCCUUCGAUGGAUAGGGGUUCUGAGAGGAAGGUCCCCCACAUUGGAACUGAGACACGGUCCAAACUCCUACGGGAGGCAGCAGUGAGGAAUAUUGGUCAAUGGACGAGAGUCUGAACCAGCCAAGUAGCGUGAAGGAUGACUGCCCUAUGGGUUGUAAACUUCUUUUAUACGGGAAUAAAGUGAGGCACGUGUGCCUUUUUGUAUGUACCGUAUGAAUAAGGAUCGGCUAACUCCGUG
This 489-nucleotide ribosomal RNA is filed under the name uncultured bacterium. RNAcentral describes it as "partial 16S ribosomal RNA". It matches the Rfam family "Bacterial small subunit ribosomal RNA", at positions 28 to 507 of the family's 1533-position model. The record is from RNAcentral.